GCUAGGUUGCCUGGUGGAGCGAGUCUCAUACAAUAAGAUAAAAUCUUGAAGGAAGUCUUGAAGGCACAGUCUGAGAAGCAGGCACUGAGAAGCACUUAGUUUGUUGGGAAGACUUUGAUGUGGGAGGUGAGAGGAUUUCUCCUAGUGAAGAACAGAUUUUCUGGCCAAGCUUCAGUUCUUCCUGCCAUUGCCGGCACGGAGAGUCUGUCAUAGUCCCUCUGGACACUUAUAUUUGAAACAAGGAACAUAAAGGGGAUUAAGGGAUGUUAUUACUUUCCUCUUAUAAUUGGAAGGGAGCUGCAAUAUAUUCAUUAUCUGCUCAUAGUUGAUGCCAUACUGUCCUACAGCACUGAAAUUGUGGGAUGACAAUUAUAUCACUGAUGACAUAAUUUAUCAGUUUUUUGUUACUCAAGGUAAUUCCAAUGAGGCAAUAAAUCUACGUGUCAGUAACAAAAUAUUCAGUUUACCAGCUGUGCUCUAUUUUAUAGCCAUAGGUUUAAAGAUUUGAAAGGAGUGUAUGCUAAGCACCACUUUGCAAUUAGAGUCAAAGAGGAAAUUAAACGUUCUGUUUUUGUUACAAAAGCAAAGAACUGUGUCUCAUAAUUUGUCUUUUUGUUCACAUUGCAUAACAGGAUCUGCCUUUUGCUUCUUCAUCAGUUCAACCCAAGGAUUGUGCUGGAAUAUCAGUCAGGAAGCCUGUUCCACCAGGAAGUCUUACCCUUGCAGUGACGCAAUGUGCAGCAUGAUGUACAUUAUAGAAAAUGUGGAUUCUGUUCCAACAGACCUUAUUAGCACUCUGCAGAGAUAAGUACAGCAUCAUCUCCUCCGUGCACUUGAGCACUUUAGCUCCUGUCUCCCAGGAGUUGGUUCAGUAUCUUGAAAGGUAAACUAGCUUGCUAAAAAAGGCUUUAAAGUGAGUGAGCAUCUCAUAGAGUCGCUAUUCCUUCAUUAAAACUAACAAAAAUAUGUUGCCAUCCAGUGACUAGCUGGCUGUACAAGCCCUUAAAGAAGUCUUGGGUGUCUCAGUUUCCCCACUGGCUCCCUCCUGUUACACAUACGGCUUUUGCAUGAGAUCAGGAGCCACAGCUGUACACACAGGGAGUGAAAAAAUUAAAUGAGUUUGGAGAAGUUAGUUCCAAAGGUGUCUAUACAUUUGGGAUUCCAAAGGUUGAGGGUAGGAAUCAUGUAGGGUAAGGUCCAAAUUCUCAAUGAGAUAUAUGCGUAGAUCAAGAUAUUAAAAAUGUAGGGUCCUGUUUGGCAGAAAAUACAACACUGGAACUUUAUAAGGUUCCUUAAGAAUAGUUGCUGGUAAAACAGGACUUCCAGCACAGGCAAAGUAUCCUUAGUCUGUCCUUCUUUAAUUUAGUUUGAAAAAAUAGGGGCUGUAUCUGCAGAUCUCCCGAAGACUGAAAGAUUAUCCAAUUACAGUUUAAAGAAACGUGCAGCAACAAUGACUAACUGAAAUUAAAAGACACUGUGGAGAAGAGAAAGAGAGUCAGAGAGAGAGCACUUCAAUUUCUCUUAUCAGUAAGUGGGGAGAACUAUUGCUGUCCUUAAGUUUUGUGGUAAGUGGGGUGAAGGUCCCUUGUGUCAGGGAGGGGAUCUGCCUGCUUUCCCACCUUUCUUCCUUUUUUUGGCAGGGGAGUUGGAGCUUGAUGAUCCUUGAGGUCCCUUCCAACCGAAGCCAUUCUAUGAUUCUAUGACCCUUUUCUUCUGCUUCUCUCUCUUUUUCUUCACGCAGACCUUACACAUAUAUGAAAAGCUGACGAUUCCUAUGGAUUACUUUUUUUUUUUUUUUAGAUUUACAUGUGUUAACAAAAAAGAGGCUCUUAGUAGCUCUGUUUGGGUAUUAAGGGCAGAAAAUAAAGAGUGCUGUUAAUCUUGGGCUGAACCUGGG
RNAcentral lists this long non-coding RNA (1897 nucleotides) under Chrysolophus pictus (golden pheasant). RNAcentral's name for it is "lncRNA (ENSCPIG00010014148.1)". The record is from RNAcentral. Lineage: Eukaryota; Metazoa; Chordata; Aves; Galliformes; Phasianidae.